CUCCUAAACGUUCUGGGCUGCACGCGCAAUACAAUGAUGCCGGAAACGAGUUGGCACUCUUCUGAGGCCUGCUUCGAAAGGAGUGGGAAAUCUUUGAAAACGGCAUCGUGGCUAGGAUAGAUGAUUGCAAUUAUUUGCCUUGAAUCCGGAAUACUUAGUAGUGGCGUUUCAUUAGAACGUCGCGACUACGUCCCUGUCAUUUGUACACACCGCCCGUCGUUGCUACCGAUUGGAACGAGUCCAGAGGAGUUGGGAGUAACGCUAAGCUCUGCUUAUGCUGUUGCAAACUUCUCCGAUCGCCUCGUUCUAGAGGAAGCAAAAGUCGUAACA
RNAcentral lists this ribosomal RNA (330 nucleotides) under uncultured eukaryote. Its description in RNAcentral is "partial 18S ribosomal RNA". It matches the Rfam family "Eukaryotic small subunit ribosomal RNA", at positions 1470 to 1796 of the family's 1831-position model. The record is from RNAcentral.